CUUAUCACUUCCGGUUCUGCUUCACAACAUGUGGGGGCAAAUUUACGAUGUUGUUUAUCAUACAAUAUACAGCUGUCAUCAACGAAAUUCUAAUAGUGUUUAUUCCUUAUAUAUCUCUAAAGACAACUGAAGCUAAGUUUGUAUCACAGAAAUGUAUAAUAUCAUUUGAAAUUAACUUUUGAAAAGUAUCGCUCUUCACAAGAAUAUGAAGAAAUAACAACUGAAGAAAGCAGACUUGUUUAUAGUGUUAUCCCACAGGGAAUGGAUGUUUACUACUUAUAUUUCACUCAGAGUUUAUACAGCACACUGUUACAAACUCGAUAUAGAGUUUCAACAGGGUAAUUAAAAUUUACAAAUGGAAACUUGACGAGGAUUGAAGACAAAAUACAGACAGUCAGAGGCCUUUUCAAUGCCAAAUGCAAAAUACUUCUCAAAGUUGAAAGUGGUACCUUCUACCAGUCAUCCAGCGUCAUUCAAAGUUACUAAAGCUGAAAUUGAAACCUUGAAGAAAGUGAUACAUUGUAUACAUGAUUUUCUAGAGGAACUACAAAUUAGAUACAUAACAGACAUAGAGCUAUCACAGACACAGUACAUAUAAUGUAUUGGAAGCAGCAUUUUAUAAGAUAUCAAUAAGACAGUGGAAAUACUACAUUGUACUCUUUUGGAUGAAUUAUAGCCUAAGAAGAUCUGAUCUUACAUUAAGGACUGGGCCAUACAUUUUUUGCCCUAACCCUACAAGUGGGUUGUUUAGAAAGGACUGAAUUGGCUUGUGUGUCUGCAUCUCUAAAGAAAAAGACUUGAUUGACUAUCUGUAAAAACAAAAAAAUUAUAGAAUAAUAAAGAAAAAAUUGCUAACUGAUUUUUCUAUUUCCUUUGAAAAUAGAGCUCUAUAUAUGUGAGACUUAAAUAUUUACUGAUAACUAUCUGGCUGCAGCAGUGUAAACUAUUUGUAAAAACAUGAUAAAGCUUUA
This is a long non-coding RNA of Mytilus trossulus (common blue mussel), 971 nucleotides long. RefSeq lists it as uncharacterized. The transcript is spliced from 3 exons. The record is from RefSeq and is a predicted model, not a curated record. Lineage: Eukaryota; Metazoa; Mollusca; Bivalvia; Mytilida; Mytilidae.